GUACUAGCUACGACGGUACAUAUUCUAAAAUUGGAACGAUACAGAGAUUAGCAUGGCCCCUGCUCAAGGACGACACGCAAAUUUGUGAAGCGUUCCAUAUAUUU
RNAcentral lists this small nuclear RNA (104 nucleotides) under Octopus vulgaris (common octopus). RNAcentral also lists the same sequence under 1 other name. Lineage: Eukaryota; Metazoa; Mollusca; Cephalopoda; Octopoda; Octopodidae. The record is from RNAcentral.